GACGAACGCUGGCGGCGUGCUUAACACAUGCAAGUCGAACGAAGAGCGAUGGAAGCUUGCUUCUAUCAAUCUUAGUGGCGAACGGGUGAGUAACGCGUAAUCAACCUGCCCUUCAGAGGGGGACAACAGUUGGAAACGACUGCUAAUACCGCAUACGAUCCAAUCUCGGCAUCGGGACUGGAUGAAAGGUGGCCUCUAUUUAUAAGCUAUCACUGAGGGAGGGGAUUGCGUCUGAUUAGCUAGUUGGAGGGGUAACGGCCCACCAAGGCGAUGAUCAGUAGCCGGUCUGAGAGGAUGAACGGCCACAUUGGGACUGAGACACGGCCCAGACUCCUACGGGAGGCAGCAGUGGGGAAUCUUCCGCAAUGGACGAAAGUCUGACGGAGCAACGCCGCGUGAGUGAUGACGGCCUUCGGGUUGUAAAGCUCUGUUAAUCGGGACGAAUGGUUCUUGUGCGAAUAGUGCGAGGAUUUGACGGUACCGGAAUAGAAAGCCACGGCUAACUACGUG
This 510-nucleotide ribosomal RNA is filed under the name uncultured bacterium. Its description in RNAcentral is "partial 16S ribosomal RNA". It matches the Rfam family "Bacterial small subunit ribosomal RNA", at positions 28 to 507 of the family's 1533-position model. The record is from RNAcentral.